UGGGGAAUAUUGGACAAUGGGCGAAAGCCUGAUCCAGCCAUGCCGCGUGUGUGAAGAAGGUCUUCGGAUUGUAAAGCACUUUAAGUUGGGAGGAAGGGCAUUAACCUAAUACGUUAGUGUUUUGACGUUACCGACAGAAUAAGCACCGGCUAACUCUGUGCCAGCAGCCGCGGUAAUACAGAGGGUGCAAGCGUUAAUCGGAAUUACUGGGCGUAAAGCGCGCGUAGGUGGUUUGUUAAGUUGGAUGUGAAAUCCCCGGGCUCAACCUGGGAAUUGCAUUCAAAACUGACUGACUAGAGUAUGGUAGAGGGUGGUGGAAUUUCCUGUGUAGCGGUGAAAUGCGUAGAUAUAGGAAGGAACACCAGUGGCGAAGGCGACCACCUGGACUAAUACUGACACUGAGGUGCGAAAGCGUGGGGAGCAAACA
RNAcentral lists this ribosomal RNA (427 nucleotides) under uncultured bacterium. Its description in RNAcentral is "partial 16S ribosomal RNA". It matches the Rfam family "Bacterial small subunit ribosomal RNA", at positions 355 to 774 of the family's 1533-position model. The record is from RNAcentral.